Long non-coding RNA from Stegostoma tigrinum, 571 nucleotides. RefSeq lists it as uncharacterized. Lineage: Eukaryota; Metazoa; Chordata; Chondrichthyes; Orectolobiformes; Stegostomatidae. The record is from RefSeq and is a predicted model, not a curated record. The transcript has 3 exons.
UCACCACAGUCUGAUUUUGCCACACCACUGCUUCAGCGCCAUCAGCUGCCUCUGGAUUUUUCUCCGAUCGAUGGGGCAAUGGGGCAAAGGAUGAGGGCAACACUGGCUGGACCAGCAUUUAUUGGCCAUCCCUAAUUGCCCGGGGGGAGUUAAGAUUCAACCACAUUCCUGUGGGUCUGGAGUCACAUCUAGGCCAGACCAGAGAUAGUAAGAGCUGCCAAUGCUGGAGUCAGAGAUAACACAGUGUGGAGCUGGAGGAACGCAGCAGGCCAGGCAGCAUCAGAGGAGCAGGAAAGCUAACGGUUCAGGUCAGGGCCUUCUUCAGAAAUGGCCCCAUGUGUUAUUUCUUAAUUCUAUUUGACACUCCUUUGAUAAUGCAUGAGACCUGGACAACAUCCACACAAGUACUCAUCAAUGACCAUCUCCAACAGGAGAGAAAGUAACCAACUCUCCUUUACAUGCAUUGAAUCUCACACAUUCAACAUUCUAGGGCAUAACAGUGAUCAAUAGCUUAAUUAAGCCAGUCAUAAAAAUACUGUGGCUACAAAAGAAGAUCACAAAACUGGGGAUU